UGCGCCAAGCUGCCUGGCUCCUCCUCUUCUCCCCAGAGUUCCAAGCACCCGCCUCUCUCCCAAGCGCUCCCCGCCGCACCCGAGCCCUUGCUCCGCGUACUCCUCCUUAACCAGAAGGAAAACUGACCCCGACGGGCUCCAAGGGGCGGUGUCCUACAGGGAACCCAGGCCAGAGCCUGACUCCGCAGUGAGGAAGCGUUCAAACCAUUCCAGGUCAGAGCUCCGAGAAUAUUUGCAGCGAGAAAACUAAACUAGUGAGCUAACGCCAUUGACUUCACCAAACUUAGAAUACCGAAAUCCAGACAAAAAGCAAAAAAAAAAAAAAAGCAAAAAAAAAACCCAAACAAACCCGAAUUUCACAGCAUCAAGUCACCAGCAGCUGCUAGGACCUUAGUUUCCUUCCUGCGAACCGGAAUCCUGUGCUAAAACCCCCCACCCCCCGGUCUGAUUAUUUAUUUGUUAUUCUUAAAGACUAUUUUUGACUGGACUCAAGAGUAGAAGCUCUCGGCGAAAACAGCCCCGCAUCACUUGGCGAUCUGUUCCUGGAGUUUUUCUUUGGCUUCCUUCAUUUUCUCGGCCAGAAGUUUAGCAUAUUCUACAGCCUCCUCCUGGUUUCCGUAGUGCCCGUGCGAAGCUUGCCUUCAUCGUCCGCCUCGGUGAGAUACCGACAACCGGCGGCCGGGAAGGGGAUUUUCAGCCUCAUCUUGACAUGGCCAGGAAUUCACUUCCAGUUUUCUUUCAACACAGGCACCUCUCCCGCCUCAGCCUUCCGAAUACUGAGAUUACAGGCACGCGCCACCACGCCUGGCUCAAAAAUGUCAUUAUAAAUCGUUGCUAAGUACAAUAAUACAUGGGGUGAACAAACAAACGAAAGACAGCCACCACCCAGGCAUUUUAGUGUUAAGUUCGGACAACAUCACGGACUUACACUAAAGUACGAACUGCUUUGUAUCUGGCAAUCUCAUGGCCAGAGUAUCACUGCUUUGCAGAUUCCUCUGAAACCACACUCAGAAAGGUGUCGGGCAGAGGCAGGAGGCUGGAAGCAUUUCCAGAUAGACCCCGACUCUUUAAACCACUCCCACCAACACGUCGUGCACUCCGGAAGGCCGCAGCCAAGUGGACCUCAGCAGACGCUGGGAGUUUGGGGCCACUUUCCCAGAAUUUGCAGGGGAAGCAGCUUAGUGCUCACCCGGCUUCCCGACACCUGGUCGCGGCUCGGCGCAGUGACUAAGACUGAACGCUAGGAGGCACCCGAGAUCCACGGAACUCAGAAGCCAGGAGGCUAAAUAAAAUCCUGCCUUCCUUCCUUCCUUUUUAAAUAAAUUUUCUUAAUGGAGUGGA
Non-coding RNA from Arvicanthis niloticus (Nile rat), 1341 nucleotides. Lineage: Eukaryota; Metazoa; Chordata; Mammalia; Rodentia; Muridae. The record is from RefSeq and is a predicted model, not a curated record.